Juglans microcarpa x Juglans regia is the source of this 142-nucleotide long non-coding RNA. RefSeq lists it as uncharacterized. The record is from RefSeq and is a predicted model, not a curated record. The transcript has 3 exons. NCBI's taxonomy places the organism in Eukaryota, Viridiplantae, Streptophyta, Magnoliopsida, Fagales, Juglandaceae.
UGGAGGUUAGAUUUUGCUGGUCUUCAACCCGUUCUACCUGCUCUAGAAAUAAAGAGAAGGCUUUAAUGAGGGAGAGAGUUGUAAAGAUAUGAGAUGUAUACAACUUAUGCAAGCCUAAUGACUACUUUGUCGUUGUAUACAA